UUGCAUUUUAAACAUUACAAAACUCACAUUUGUAUCAUAUAGGUGCACUUGUGGAAGUUGUGGGGCAAUGCCAACUGAGGCGGAGAGUGUAUGCUGCCAGGAGAUUCCACAGGUCACACGACGUAUGGAGCAGCUGGAGGGAAUGCCCCAAUGCGUGAUCGACCAUCCAGGGGUGUAUCCAGUGUGCCUAAAUGUUUAUUCUCUACAAACAGCGUGCAAUGUCUACAGAGCUGACCAUGGGCCUUUACGGCUACGGGGAAUAGAGCAUCGUUACAGGUAUCUUGCCUACAGAAACUUUGAGUUGGUGUUGGGGAUUCCUUGGACGCAAAAUAAGGGUUGUCAUCCCGUCGUGUGUGGUCCAGCGUGUUCGUCGACAGUUUCCUGACAGCCAAGGACAAUAUGUGGGUUUCAGACUGCCUCCCCUGGAUUGAAGCGAGACACAUAGCUGGCGAUCACCUCCUCCUUCUCUGGAUGUUCGAACUCAGAACACAGGUCCGGAGGGAUGUGGAUUUUCAGAAGGUCAUCCCUGUAUGCUGCUGGGUCUUCAAAGACUGGCCCCAUGAUGAAGCCCAUCAAUACUUCCACACAGUGGCGAUUUUGGUUUGGAAACUCUGGUGGGGCCCAUGCAGGAAAAUAUUAUAACGCAAUCCAGAAAUACCACAUAUUACUACCAUCACAAAAAAAACAGUAGCAAGUGACAGAGGGGACCAAAAUUGCAGCUGAAUAAUGCCAUCACUCAAACGCGAAUCUGACGACAUAUAUUAGGCUAUUAUAGCAAUAGCACCACCAAAUGGCAGCGUUCAAGAUCUCACAAUAUCAAAACUCAAGAAAACAACAACAUGGCAACAAUAAAAACACAACGGCGCACACCCUUUACACAGCAAUCAAUAUACAAAGCCACCACUCACAAUAUACCAAAAAAAUAAGAAGUAUGGUUUAAGUUGCAUUAAGUUUGCAGGCCACCAUACUGUACAAUUAACAAUGAA
Gadus chalcogrammus (walleye pollock) is the source of this 986-nucleotide long non-coding RNA. RefSeq lists it as uncharacterized. NCBI's taxonomy places the organism in Eukaryota, Metazoa, Chordata, Actinopteri, Gadiformes, Gadidae. The record is from RefSeq and is a predicted model, not a curated record. The transcript has 3 exons.